GACGAACGCUGGCGGCGUGCUUAACACAUGCAAGUCGAACGGAAAGACCCUGCUUUUGUGGGGUGCUCGAGUGGCGAACGGGUGAGUAACACGUGAGUAACCUGCCCUUGACUUUGGGAUAACUUCAGGAAACUGGGGCUAAUACCGGAUAGGAGCUCCUGCUGCAUGGUGGGGGUUGGAAAGUUUCGGCGGUUGGGGAUGGACUCGCGGCUUAUCAGCUUGUUGGUGGGGUAGUGGCUUACCAAGGCUUUGACGGGUAGCCGGCCUGAGAGGGUGACCGGCCACAUUGGGACUGAGAUACGGCCCAGACUCCUACGGGAGGCGGCAGUGGGGAAUAUUGCCCAAUGGGCGGAAGCCUGAUGCAGCAACGCCGCGUGCGGGAUGACGGCCUUCGGGUUGUAAACCGCUUUCGCCUGUGACGAAGCGUGAGUGACGGUAAUGGGUAAAGAAGCACCGGCUAACUACG
This 466-nucleotide ribosomal RNA is filed under the name uncultured bacterium. RNAcentral describes it as "partial 16S ribosomal RNA". It matches the Rfam family "Bacterial small subunit ribosomal RNA", at positions 28 to 505 of the family's 1533-position model. The record is from RNAcentral.